Long non-coding RNA from Bos taurus (domestic cattle), 407 nucleotides. The record is from Ensembl. Lineage: Eukaryota; Metazoa; Chordata; Mammalia; Artiodactyla; Bovidae.
GGGCCAUUAGCUUUGGGAGGAGAACGUAAGCUUUCCAAGGGCAAGAGCCACAUCUGAUACUUCUUGGCAGGCAGCUCCUGAUGCCCGGGCACUUGGAUGGUAGACACUAACACCCGAAUGUUCUCUGAUGACCCAAGUUCACCCCGGGCUGUUCUCUUGCAGGAGAUGGUAUUCCUGACCCUCUAUCUGCAGGGCUUCAACACUAGAUAGCCUCAGUUUCCUUAUCUGUAAAAGGCACCCAGCAUUUCCUCCCCUUUAGGUAUCAGUCAGUUCAGUUCAGUUCAGUCGCUCAGUCAUGUCCGACUCUUUGCGACCCCAUGAAUCACAGCACGCCAGGCCUCCCUGUCCAUCACCAACUCCUGGAGUUCACCCAGACUCACGUCCAUCGAGUCAGUGAUGCCAUCCAG